This 328-nucleotide ribosomal RNA is filed under the name uncultured Piloderma. RNAcentral describes it as "eukaryotic LSU rRNA". The stretch from base 1 to 71 matches the Rfam family "5.8S ribosomal RNA", at positions 84 to 154 of the family's 154-position model. The record is from RNAcentral. Lineage: Eukaryota; Fungi; Basidiomycota; Agaricomycetes; Atheliales; Atheliaceae.
GUGAAUCAUCGAAUCUUUGAACGCACCUUGCGCCCCUUGGUAUUCCGAGGGGCAUGCCUGUUUGAGUGUCAUUAAAUUCUCAACUCUGAUUUGAUUUGUUUCUAAUCAGAGCUUGGACUUGGAGUGUGCUGGCGUCUAGUCGGCUCCUCUCAAAUGCAUCAGCGGAAUUAGAACCUUUGGUUUCCGGACGUCGGUGUGAUAAUAAAGUUGCGCCGUCUUUCGACUUCAAAGUCCGCUUAUAAUGGUCUUCGGACGAACUCUUAUAUCAAAUUUGACCUCAAAUCAGGUAGGACUACCCGCUGAACUUAAGCAUAUCAAUAAGCGGAGG